This 9872-nucleotide long non-coding RNA is filed under the name Taeniopygia guttata (zebra finch). RNAcentral's name for it is "lncRNA (ENSTGUG00000022853.1)". The record is from RNAcentral. Lineage: Eukaryota; Metazoa; Chordata; Aves; Passeriformes; Estrildidae.
UUUUUUUUUUUUUUUUCCUUCUUAGACAUUUUGUGAAAGUUCAUUAGACAUUUCAAACAAAUUACUGUUGGGAAGUAGCCACCUCCAGAUAGCCUCUUGGUUCAGAGAGCAAAAUUUCUAUCUUCCAGCUCCCCAGGGUAAAUGAGGCAAAUCUGGGACAAGCCAUGAAUGAGCAAGUGAGCAGAAGCUGUGGGCACCUCUGAAUAUGUGUUCCUAUUCUCCCUACAUCUUCCCCCUCUGGCAUGGAAAUGUCACAAAGGUGCACAUGCCUAUACAAAUAUGUAUAAAAAGUAUGUGUACACACACAUAUAUAUAAAAAAUAUGUGUGUGUGUAUAUCCUAUAAAGGCAAACAAAACAUCUAGAAGGCACCAAGAUGCACAUCUUUGAAUUUCAAAACCAGGAUUCCUAAAAAUGCCAGUCCUUACCUCCUCCUCCCAUGGUGCCAGGCACUCUCAGCUCAAACAGAUUUAAGAGCACUUUGUGCCAGACCUUCUGCCAACUGGUUUCCAGGACAGAAAACAUCUCUCAUUCUCUUAAACAUCAAAAUUGCUUUCCAGAGGGGCUGCAAGGCAAGCUUUAAAACAACUUUCCGGUUAAUUAUCCCAACACUGGUUUUUUAAAACAUUUUCCAAAACCAUUGCAAAUACUUUCCCUGAUUAUAAAAGCUGUAUUUAUUUAUUGCCUUUAACCUAAACUUCAAGUGGUGUUGAUUAACAUUAAUCCAAAUGCAAUCUCCCCCUCUAAAUAAGAACACUGUAUGGACCUCCUAAAUUAAAGCAGUAUAUUCUGUGACUGUGCAGCUCUCCUGCAAGAAGCUGGGAAGAGCUGCUGCAGGAGAGGAAGGAUGGGGUGGGGAGGAAGGGCCCAUAACCCUUGUGACACGUGCAUGUCAAGCUCCCCAAGCCAAGGCACUCCCAGCAACUCCAGAUGAAUUUCCAGUCAUCCUGGGAACCUUCACUUCUGACAGAAACAGCCCCAGCUUUCAGAUUUAUGUAAUUUCUCCUCGAUCCAAGCAACAGCCAGCAGCCUCUGCUGAGCUCUGAUGGUUCAGGUUAAGAAUAAGCCGUGAAAUCACAGCACAAUUCCAGAUGCCAGGCAAAGAAACGGCUGCACCCUACUGGGGCUCUGCUCUCCAUGGCUUCCCAAACAGGAGAUGACAAAUAUAAAGGAUUCCUAAGACUUUCAGUGCCUGGCUGAGCAGCAGAUUCACAGGACAAAGCAAAGUGUCUCGCAACAGAGCAAACAGCUUUGGUUGCAACAAUAAUAAUAAUAAUAAUACAUGUUUUAAUUAAAACACAGCUCUCCAGGAAUACCAGUUUGGUAGCUGCUAUGAAAGUACAUCACUUGGAAAUUGUUUUGUUCAGGGUGGGUUUGGGGUUUUUCACAAAAAACAAUGCAAUUUUUAUGCACUGACAAUAUUCUUAUUAUACAAAACAAAGCUUUUCACGCUGUACACCACUACUAAAAACUUGAAAGCAGGAGACAAGGACGAAGUAAAAAUGUUGACAAACCUACACUAAAGAACACUGUCAGAAACAUUCAGAUACUAAUAUCAUCCUUUCUUAAUUGUAGGCUUCUAUUGUUAGAGCUUCACACUAUGGUGAUGGGAAACAAAACAUACAAAAAAUAAUUUUUUUUAAUUGCUCAUGCCAUUCAUAAACAUGAUCUAUCCUAUCCCCUGCAGAAGAUAAACCAAGAAACAGAUAAUUCUAUCAAAACAGCAGGAGAAUGGUACAACUUUAAAUUAUUUUUUAAAAAGUAUUAAAAGUCUCCUGCUUGUUUGUUUUACCCCUGCUUUAAAUUUUACUCUCAUCUGCUGAGCAGAAUCUUGUUUUUUUUUGCUUUAGAUAACAAAAGCACACUUGGAUUUGAUAGGAUGCUGUCACAUGACCUCUCUCUACACCCAAAAAUAUUUGCCUCCUCUUUCUAUACCCAAAAAUAUUUGUCUCUGAGCACACAUAUUUUACAACCUUGAAUUCCUUUGCUUUAGUCCCGGCCAAAAACAGCCCUUCCAAAAAAUGAUGAAAUAUACACCAAGGGCCUCCUCGAUUUGUACCUGCAGCUGCUCAGGCUGUAAGGCCCUGCUAGAAGUUAAUUAUUUAAAAAAUUGGGUUUUAACAACCACAGCUGUCAAAGGAUCUUGUCUCAUUGCACCAGGGACAGCACCAGUGAGUGUCUGACAAAGGAUGCUGAUCUGGGGGUGGGCAGUAAAGAUGAAGAGUGACUGUACCACUGAAUGAGACCAAAUUAAAACUCCUGUGUAACCAAACCUACCUGGCUUAUUCCUCACACAGUCCUCCAGGAGGAAGGAGUCAGCCUGGCAUAACAGCCCUGCCACAGCUGACCACUUCCAUGCUGCUCCUGAAGCUCUUGAAGGACUCAGGACAACACCACAUGAUGGUUUUGACAAUCCUUUGAGACAGUUCCCAUUCUUUAUUUGAGCAUUUCUUUAGCCUGAUGCUAUUUCAUUGUUAAGGUUUAAAUUUAUAACAUUCUGGCCUGAGAGAAGCCACAGUUCACCCAGACAGCUGAACCCUGACUCCACUAAACAGGAUUCCUUCACUGCUCAGGACUGUCACCAGAAGAGAUGCUACAAGCACAUUACAGCAUUUAUACUGUAAAUAUUAAUUUUAGACUGUAAAUGGAUGAUACAAAUCAGUCCUUCUUUUACAUACAGAUGUUGCUGGCCUACAGAACAUCUACCUUCUUAUAACUAUCACUAAUAUCUCUUAUUAUGUCACCUUAGAGCUUUCUCCUUGCACCUGAAAAUCCCCUUCUGGUGUCUGUGCAACCUUUCCCACUGUAGCUUUCCUCUUGAACAGCCUGUUCUGGAAACAUCCUCACAGGUGAGACCAACCAGCAUGAGUUAUCAGGUGGUUAUUAUAGCAUGGGCAAGAGAAUCAUUCCACAGGACUUAAACAUUUGCCAUGUAUUGUCUUAUAUUACCUGUGGGAAUCCAGGGCUUCCCUCUGGCUGCCCUGGAAGGUCUGAGACCCUGGCAGGGGGUCAGGAACCUCCUGUACAGAGCCCCCAGAGACACUGUCUGUGAUCUCUGUCCAUGGAAAAGAGUUUUCAAUCUUACAGGAUGAAUUACAAGCUCCGAGUGUUUGAUAUAAGUAAUAAUUAAGUGUGGCACGGGUGCAAAAGUAAAAUUUUAGGUUUCUAGAUAAGGGGUCCAAAGGGGACAAGAUGGAGGAAAUUGGGUGUGUCUUGUCCUUUUUCUCCUUCUUCAUGCCCUCCAUGUUUCACUGCAGUGUUGGCAUUUUUCUGUUGGUUCAGGCUGGGGACACACUGUUCAAUGUAGGUGACAGAUAUUGGCACAUUAUUGUAAAUACAGCACAGGUAGUUUGUGGUAUUUAAUGUUUGUACCAUCCCACUGAGGGCAGAGCCCCACACGCUGCCCUGCAGGACAGAGCUGCGGCAGGGCAGCAGAACAUGUUAGAGAUAAACAGAAUAAACAACCUUGAAACCAGCACAGACGAAUUAUGGCUUCUUCUUUGGCAACGGGGCAGAAAGACAGAGACUUUCUACAAUCUCGGAAUCAUCAAUACCACAGAUUCUGACAAUUACCUAAAAAAACUGCAAAUGUUUCACCCAAGGUGAAGAAGAACUUUGUCUUUCUCAGAGAGCCUCUGCUCCAAGCCUGUGACAUGAGGCUGGUGUGGCAAUGCCACCUGAAUGUGUCCGACUGUCACUGAGCCCAUCAACAGCUGCAUCAUAAAUCCCUGGCUUUAACAAAGUACAGCUGCAAUGUUCCAACCCAGCUGGAGCUGCUCUACCAACCCCUGGAGGAGGACUGGGAGCAAUAUUGAUCCUACCUGACUCAUCUCCCUGGAAAACACAAAUCCUCUGGGCAUCUCUAACAGCCCAAAAAUUUGCCAUGCAGAAGUAGAAACCUCCACUAAUCCCUGGGAUCAAAGAGAAUCUUAAAGCUUUAGGGAUUUGGCUAUCCUUGGAAUGGUGUUCUUACUGAACUGUAUGUUAGACACCUUCACUUAUGGCUUUUUUUAGUGGCAUUUGGAAAAACAGUACCUGAGGUUUAUCCUCCAAGAUGGAGAUGUGCUGCAUUUGAAGUCUGAGGGCUUUAUACAAAUCAUGUAAUUAGUACUUGGACAAAAAGAUCAAGAAAAAUUUGUUGUUUUUUUCCCCACUGUUUAAGUGCAGGUAUGCUUUUCAAUCAAAAGCUGGCUGUCUGCCAAGAAAAAAGCUUGUAGCAGAAAUUUUUCAGAGGAAAAGCACGAUGUCCUAUUCAGUUUGCAAAAUCCUGAGUAUUCCUGAAGGCAAGCAAAGAGUCGAGGAGCAUUAGUUAGAAGUUUUAUUGCUGUUGCAAUGCAAAUACUAAACCCUUACAAAAAUAAAUUGUAGCAGACACAAUAAAAUGCAUUUUAACAUAGCACCUUAAAAAAAUUAUACUUGCCAGGCAUCAUGGUAUCUUCAUGAAUAAUCUCUCAUAAGCCAAAAGGUACAAUAUUAUGCAGUCAACAAUUGCCACGAGUGCAAUGACCAAAAGGGUGAUCACUGCUGACACCUAAGGGGCACAACCUCUUAAUGGAAUAAAAAAGUACUUUUACAGGAAAUAACAAUGAUUUCAGAGCUGAGGUAGUAAGCUGUUAUUCUGCCCUAUAUACAGAUAAAAUUGUACAUGAGGCAUACAAGCACUUUUCAGUACACUAGCCACUUUUUAAAAUAAUUUCUAUUUCAGGAAAAAAGCCAAAAAAAAACCCAACUCCCCCCUCCUUUGCCAAACAGCCUUAACUUCAGCCUUAACUGGCGCAGAGCCAGAGGUGUUCAAGUUGAAGUUGUAAAAAGUAAGCAUUUAACAGCUAGACAGACUAAAGAAUAAAAGUUCUGUGCAGAUAAUAAUAAUUGGAAUAGCAAAUUUAACAUAUUCUCAGAUUCCUGGAGCCACCUUCAAAUCUGGGGUAGGAGCUGGCAACAUCUGAAUUCCAGGCACAAGCCAGAGGUGCCUGCCCAUUGCCAGCAGGAGCAGGGUUUGGGGAACAAAGCACAGGAGCAAAAUGCUGAUGACUUUCUAACCUGCUUUAAAAAAAAAGAAAAAAAAACAUUUUGGUGUUCAGUAUUUCCUGUAUCCCAAAUGCUCGGAGAAGCAAAAGCAGGAAAACAAGAAAUUCUGUGGAAAAGGUGCUUCCCAGUACCUAAAGAGACCACAGGAGAGCUGGAGAGGGGCUUUUGGUCUGAACCAAGGACUACCUUUGUUUUCUGCCUCAUCCAAAACUUCAUUGUGCCAACGAAUCCAUAUCCAAAAAAUUCAAAUACUCUGUCACUCUGCUCAACAUCCCCUCUCAGCACGACAUCCCACAGGGCUUUCCUUCUGAUGCAAGUGGUUUAGUACUUACAAGUCAACCAACACGCUCACUGAAGUGGCAUUCCCUCAGGAAAACAUUCAAAUGAGCUCCUCUAUUAAAUUACAAAAUAGAUCAGCCUACAGUUGUUUAACAUGCACUUGAGUUUCUCUUACAACAGGGCAUCCUUCAGUGUUUAGCAGAAGCAUGUUCCUGUGCUACUCAAUUAUCUUCUUGCUGAAGAAACAUUAGACCUCUGAUGUUUCAUGCAAACCCAUGUAGGAAGAUAUUUAGGACACCACUCAUAAUCAUUAAUGAAAAUAUUGCAUUUAUAUGUAGUCUACCUGCAUGAAAUUCAAUGAAAAAAACUGGCUGCAGGCUGCAAAGGCAGGUUUAAAAAUGGAUACCAUUAUCAUUCAGCAACAUUCAAAUCCAAGGGAGGAGAAAACCCCACCAGCCUUAACUCUGUGGUCUGCCUUUUAUGAACUUAAAAUUCACAGAAGGAUUUUACUGCAGGGUACUCCUGUUGAUAAAUAACAAUAACAAUCCAGAAUCCUGAUGAUCUGGAUUAGAGGAAGGUUUCUGCAUCCUCAGCAGGAAUUUUCCUCUAGGAACACAAGACAGCUUUGAACAAGACCUUUUCCAUGACUGUGAAGAUGCCUUCCCUGCAGAGAGGUGGAUCCCUUACCAACUCCUCACUAUAUAUAUGGUGUUUUUUUAAACAAAUGAGUUCAGUUUCAUGAGCUGUGACUCCAGGUGAAGAUGCAGGGAUCCAGGUCACAAUGACACAUUUAUCACUCUGCACUGGGAAGAAUACCAGAAUAGCUGGGAACAUGGAUUUAUGCUCCAGGCAUCCUGACCCUGGUAUAAUCAGGAACAGUUCCCACAAACCACCUGUACUGCACAGCUGGAACCAGGACCCUCAAAAGACAUCAAGGACCAGGAAAACUGCACUAAGGCUGGGACAGAGCAAGGCAGGACAGACCAGGGAAAACAUCCAGCAACAGAGAUAUCUGCUCUACCAUGGGUCAGGAAGAAAAAGGUCAUGUAACAUUCACAGAGCACAAUAUCAACAUAGUCAGGGGAGAAAAAAAAUCAUGCUGUUUCCAAUCAAUUGAAAAUAAGUCAAUAAAGUAAAUUAUCACUGCUUUGGUAGGAUUCCAGCCCCAAAAGGCCAAUUAAAUCUUCCCCUUCCAUGUGCAUGUGUUUUCUUUAUACAUGUAGGAAGACAAUUCCAUUAAAUGAGAAAAUAAACUGAUUUAAUUCUCAGUAUCAGGUUUUGUUUUCAGCCACUCACAAAACCAAAAUUUUUGUAUAUUGUACAAUAGGAAUGCACUGGCAAUAAGGGAUUUAAUUUCAACCCUACAGACAAGAAGCUCUGCCAGGCAGGUUAGUGAGACCCAAAACAGGAGGAGCUCUUGGCCAAGGCUCUCUGCAGAUGUGCAGGACAAGAUGCUCCAUCCCACAGCACCAGGAGGACCAACACUCACACAGUUAUUCACACUCACACAGCUAUUCACACUCACACAGUUAUUCACACUCACACAGUUAUUCACACUCACACAGUUAUUCACACUCACACAGUUAUUCACACUCACACAGUUAUUCACAAGGAACUCUGUGCCCUUCUUCUGCCCUCUAAUGCUCUCAAGUUUGCAUCCACACAGCUUAGCACAAAGAGGAGCCCCAGCAUUCCCUUGAUUCUUGUAUUUGGAAGGAAGUGUUUCAGAUGACAGCAGAAGAGACGAGACCAAUAAUGGGAAGCAAAAAUUCGGUGGGGAGCAAUUCAAAUGUGAAACUGUUAAUUAAAUAUGCAAAAUACUUGCAGAAGCAGCAAGGGAUAGGAAAAAGCCAAAACAAAACCAAAUGCUGCAUCUACUGUAAACAAGUGUGAACACAGAGAAUAAAUAUAUCUACCUUCCAAAAUGGGAUUUGACUUUCUAAUCUCUGGUCUACAUAUUUCAGAUUUGCUUCUUUUUUAAACACAUGUUCUGUGAAGGAUGUCUCUGCAAGAUUAAGACAAGAAGUAAAUAUUUCAGCACUUGGAAAAGAAACAGGAAAAACUGUUUGUUGUUCAAGAUUUCUUGAAUCCCGCAGAACACAGCAAACAGCUUCUGCUCCUGUUUAACAGAAAUGGCUUACCACUAUGUCAGUAAAGUGUGUCCCUUGUUACCAAACAGGCAGCAAGGAGCUGUGACAAGCUCAGAACAAUUCUAGGCACAAUUCACAGAGCUGCAGAUAAGAAAGGAGGAGUUGAAACAUUUAAAGCAGUUUGUGGAGGAGAAGAAGAGCUGCAUGCAAUUUUAUUAUUACUGCAACUUCUGUAGUACACAGGAGCAGCAUGAAAAAGAAUCCCUCUGUGCUGGACACUGUAAACAUGGAGCAAGAGCAAGCUCCCCCAAAAAGUCUCUGAUUAAAGCAUAAAACAAGAUAAACAAACACUAGCACAAGGUCACACAGAAGACAAUCUGCAAUUCAUACUCAAACUAAUUUUACUUCUAUAUACACAAAAAACUCAAACUGGGUUUAACAAUAAACACUGUAACUGCUAUCACCCAGCCCCUAUAAAAUGCUGCUUAUUCCAGCCACCAGGCUGAGUUUUCAGAACAUGGUGGGUACCACACAGAAGAUGGAGGGUACCACAAUUCCCAUCUUACAUAGGUGCAAAGAGACAUCUAAACAUAAUUGCAGUGGGUUCCAGAUUAAAACAGAUCAGCCCUCAGCCUGUGAACACAAUGAAUCACCUUCAGCUUAAAAGAUGGUGUCCUGGCUUAGGCUGGGAGAGAGUCAAUUUUCUGCCUAGUAGCUGGUACAGUGCUGAGGUUUGGAUUCAGCCUGAGAAUAAUGUUGAUGCUUCAGUAGCUGCUGAGCAGAGCCCACCCCAAGUGAAGGACUCUGCGGUGUCCCGGGCUCUGCCAGGGAGGAGCUGCAGCAGGAGCUGGGCUGGAGCAUGGCCAGGACAGCUGAUCCCCCUGGGCAGAGCCCAUCCCACCCCACGGGAUGCCAGCCCAGGCUGUGAGCCGGGGCAGUGGGCAGAGGGGCUGAAGGCUGCUGAGGGACAGGCUGGGCAUCAGGGGGUGGGUGGUGAGGGACUGCACUGUGAUCACUCAUCUGUCUGGACUGUACUCCCUUUUUAAUGAUCUCCCUUCUCACUAUCAUAACAACAAUAAUAAUAAUAUCAUUAUUGCUUAAUUCAAGUAUUAAACCAUUCUUAUCUCAACCCACAAGUUGUACCUUUUCCUGAUUCUUCUCCCAUUCCCCCAACACCUGCUCAACCAGGCCAGGCUGUUUCCAGAAGCAGACCCAGUCAGCUGAGGUCUCUGCAGCCAGCCUGUAGCACCAGCUAAAACAUUCCAUGCCACAGACUGAGCCAAUGCUCAGGACACUGCUGGGCUCCUGACAGGAGCAGUUUUAUGGGAAAAGGAGAGUAAGCCUUUUGGGGAGAGUUUUAUGGGGAAAAGGGAGAUGAAUCUCAUGCACACAAACUGACAAGGAGAGACACGCAGUGAUUGAUGCUGUACAUAAUAAACACAACUGGGAAGAGUCUAGACAGGCUUUCAGUGUGUAAAUAUCAAAUUAUAUGAAACAUGCUGGAGGGACUUGUAGCAACCUCUCAUUUUAAGGUUCUACCUGAAAUUUAAAAGAAAGGCAGCAAUACCAUCCCUGGCUCCUUGCCUAAGCAGAUUCUGCUGAUUUGCUUAACCAGACAAAUCACAUAAACCCUGUGGUUUAUAAACACCUUUACAAGUUCAUUCUCAAUGAGUAAAUGGAGAAAACCUAUGGGUCUGAGUUUUUUCCCUGAAGAAAAAGUGGGUGAGGGAGGAAAGUCUCCUUUCCCUUCAUCCUUCUUCAUUUUCCCAGCAGGCUACAAAACUGCCGUGUGCCCAGUUCUGUCACUGUCCUGCCCAAUGCUCACAGGAUUCUAUUCUCCCUUUGAGAACAACAUGAAAAUAGUUUCCCACUGCUUUCUUCCCAAACACUUUGCCUAAAUUACUAAAAGGUAACGUUAACUGGUCCUGGCACAACCCUUGUGCUCUGGAAAAGCUUCCCACAAAGCACAUCUGAACCACCAAUCCUUUAUCAGCUCUCCAAUUUCAGAAAUGAAUCAGUCUUGCAGUUAAACCUCCUCACAUGCUCUUGUGAUGGGCAGCAAAACCAGAAGUCAGUGAUACACUACAUAACCUGCUAAGUUAAAUGAAAGAUUUGGAGGGUCUGAAAAGGGGGUUUGAUCUUUCACUCAAUAAAUAAACAAAUAAUUAAGUGAUCCACAAGAUGAAUGCAACUCACCCUGAACACAGGGAAGAGAACUCCAGAGGGAUGUCCAGGACUAUAUCAAAAAGCCACAAGUUCUGAGAGCAACAGAUGUUUCCUGUCAAAUCAUUCCUUUUGGGACCAAAGACAAACCACUGGGUUUCUGCUGGAUGAAAAGCCAUCAGGUGUAACUCACCUGUCUCACAACAGCUACACAUCAGUGCCUGCACAUCUGGGAAUCUCUACCAUGGAGCAUCACAUAAUGUGGAAGAAAUUGGAUCCUCCCCAGACAGCCUGCUCUUUAUGUUGAUGCCCUC